This 612-nucleotide ribosomal RNA is filed under the name uncultured spirochete. RNAcentral describes it as "bacterial SSU rRNA". It matches the Rfam family "Bacterial small subunit ribosomal RNA", at positions 1 to 595 of the family's 1533-position model. The record is from RNAcentral. Lineage: Bacteria; Pseudomonadati; Spirochaetota; Spirochaetia; Spirochaetales.
GCCCUUAGAGUUUGAUCCUGGCUCAGAACGAACGCUGGCGGCGCGUUUUAAGCAUGCAAGUCGAGCGGCAAGCGCGAGCUCUUCGGAGGUUGCGCCUAGAGCGGCGAACGGGUGAGUAACACGUAGGUGAUCUGUCCUUGGGGUUGGGGAUAGCCUGUGGAAACAUGGGGUAAUACCGAAUGGCUCCCAUCGGCUGUGGCUGAUGGGGGAAAGGUCCUUCGGGGCCGCCUUAGGGUGAGCCUGCGGCUCAUUAGCUAGUUGGUGGGGUAAGAGCCUACCAAGGCGACGAUGAGUAGCCGGCCUGAGAGGGUGAUCGGCCACAUUGGGACUGAGAUACGGCCCAGACUCCUACGGGAGGCAGCAGCUAAGAAUCUUCCGCAAUGGGCGAAAGCCUGACGGAGCGACGCCGCGUGGGUGAAGAAGGCCUAACGGUUGUAAAGCCCUUUUCUGCGUGAGGAAUAACCCGAGGAGGCAACGCCUGGGGGAUGACGGUAGUGCAGGAAUAAGCCCCGGCCAAUUACGUGCCAGCAGCCGCGGUAACACGUAUGGGGCGAGCGUUGUUCGGAAUUAUUGGGCGUAAAGGGCGCGCAGGCGGCCACGUAAGCCUGGUGU